Molecule: ribosomal RNA, 439 nt
Filed under: uncultured bacterium
Lineage: Bacteria
Description: partial 16S ribosomal RNA
Rfam family: Bacterial small subunit ribosomal RNA
Source: RNAcentral
CUACGGGUCGCAGCAGUGGGGAAUAUUGGACAAUGGGCGAAAGCCUGAUCCAGCAAUGCCGCGUGAGUGAUGAAGGCCUUAGGGUUGUAAAGCUCUUUUACCCGGGAUGAUAAUGACAGUACCGGGAGAAUAAGCUCCGGCUAACUCCGUGCCAGCAGCCGCGGUAAUACGGAGGGAGCUAGCGUUGUUCGGAAUUACUGGGCGUAAAGCGCACGUAGGCGGCUUUGUAAGUUAGAGGUGAAAGCCUGGAGCUCAACUCCAGAAUUGCCUUUAAGACUGCAUCGCUCGAAUCCAGGAGAGGUCAGUGGAAUUCCGAGUGUAGAGGUGAAAUUCGUAGAUAUUCGGAAGAACGCCAGUGGCGAAGGCGGCUGACUGGACUGGUAUUGACGCUGAGGUGCGAAAGCGUGGGGAGCAAACAGGAUUAGAUACCCCCGUAGUC